This 596-nucleotide ribosomal RNA is filed under the name uncultured Symbiodinium. RNAcentral's name for it is "partial Bacterial small subunit ribosomal RNA". It matches the Rfam family "Bacterial small subunit ribosomal RNA", at positions 91 to 705 of the family's 1533-position model. The record is from RNAcentral. Lineage: Eukaryota; Dinophyceae; Suessiales; Symbiodiniaceae.
GCGACCGGCGCACGGGUGCGUAACGCGUAUGCAACCUACCCAUUACUGGAGGAUAGCCCGGGGAAACUCGGAUUAAUACCCCAUAGUAUCAUAGAUUGGCAUCAUGAAAUGAUUAAAGAUUUAUUGGUAUAGGAUGGGCAUGCGUUAGAUUAGUUAGUUGGUGAGGUAACGGCUCACCAAGGCGACGAUCUAUAGGGGUUCUGAGAGGAUGAUCCCCCACACUGGCACUGAGAUACGGGCCAGACUCCUACGGGAGGCAGCAGUGGGGAAUAUUGGACAAUGGGGGCAACCCUGAUCCAGCCAUGCCGCGUGAGUGAUGAAGGCCCUAGGGUUGUAAAGCUCUUUCAGCGAGGAGGAUAAUGACGUUACUCGCAGAAGAAGCCCCGGCUAACUUCGUGCCAGCAGCCGCGGUAAUACGAAGGGGGCUAGCGUUGUUCGGAAUCACUGGGCGUAAAGCGCACGUAGGCGGAUUGGUCAGUUAGGGGUGAAAUCCCAGAGCUCAACUCUGGAACUGCCUUUAAUACUGCCAGUCUUGAGUCCGAGAGAGGUGAGUGGAACUCCGAGUGUAGAGGUGAAAUUCGUAGAUAUUGGAAAGA